This is a long non-coding RNA of Hydractinia symbiolongicarpus, 278 nucleotides long. RefSeq lists it as uncharacterized. The transcript has 3 exons. The record is from RefSeq and is a predicted model, not a curated record. NCBI's taxonomy places the organism in Eukaryota, Metazoa, Cnidaria, Hydrozoa, Anthoathecata, Hydractiniidae.
UUUUGAUCUGACCCCCAUAUUUUUUUGUGGUCCUGUAAGAAAGUAAGAUGGCGGAUCAGUCAUGGAUAGACUUGCUGAAGCACUAUACUUCAUCGCUGGUUGAAUUUGCAGCUAAGAACCCGAAGGAAUUUUUAGCAACAUUUUUUAUCAUUCUGACACCCCUCAUGCUGAUAUGUGGAUAUUUAUCAUAUUUAAUGAUUAAACAGAUCGAAGAAAAAGAGAAAGCAAAAAAAAAGAAAGCCAUAAGGUCUAAUAAUGUUGCAAGAACGAGAAGAAAA